Molecule: ribosomal RNA, 494 nt
Filed under: uncultured bacterium
Lineage: Bacteria
Description: partial 16S ribosomal RNA
Rfam family: Bacterial small subunit ribosomal RNA
Source: RNAcentral
GACGAACGCUGGCGGCGCGCUUAACACAUGCAAGUCGAACGGAAAGGCCUGCUUUCCCUUGUGGAUUGCGGGUACUCGAGUGGCGAACGGGUGAGUAACACGUGAGUGAUCUGCCCCCAACUUGGGUAUAAGCCUGGGAAACUGGGUCUAAUUCCCGAUAGGACUGCAGGGUGGUGCCUGUGGUGGAAAACGAUUUUCUAGUGGUUGGGGAUGAGCUCGCGGCCUAUCAGCUUGUUGGUGGGGUAAUGGCCUACCAAGGCGGCGACGGGUAGCCGGCCUGGGAGUGUGGACGGCCACAUUGGGACUGAGAUACGGCCCAGACUCCUACGGGAGGCAGCAGUGGGGAAUAUUGCACAAUGGGCGGAAGCCUGAUGCAGCGACGCCGCGUGGGGGAUGACGGCCUUCGGGUUGUAAACUCCUUUCGACCGCGAGGAAGCCACCUGGUUGGAAGGGUGGUGACGGUAGUGGUAGAAGAAGCACCGGCUAACUACGUG